This 253-nucleotide ribosomal RNA is filed under the name uncultured bacterium. RNAcentral describes it as "partial 16S ribosomal RNA". It matches the Rfam family "Bacterial small subunit ribosomal RNA", at positions 524 to 776 of the family's 1533-position model. The record is from RNAcentral.
UACGUAGGGCGCAAGCGUUGUCCGGAAUUAUUGGGCGUAAAGAGCUCGUAGGCGGUUUGUCGCGUCUGCUGUGAAAACCUGAGGCUCAACCUCGGGCUUGCAGUGGGUACGGGCAGACUAGAGUGCGGUAGGGGUGACUGGAAUUCCUGGUGUAGCGGUGGAAUGCGCAGAUAUCAGGAGGAACACCGAGGGCGAAGGCAGGUCACUGGGCCGCAACUGACGCUGAGGAGCGAAAGCAUGGGGAGCGAACAGG